RNAcentral lists this long non-coding RNA (289 nucleotides) under Brassica rapa (field mustard). RNAcentral's name for it is "long non-coding RNA (BRAP_LNC000646)". Lineage: Eukaryota; Viridiplantae; Streptophyta; Magnoliopsida; Brassicales; Brassicaceae. The record is from RNAcentral.
GGGCAUCGGAGGUGCCAUCGGAGAAGCCACAGGAGGAGGAGCCAUCGGGGGAGGCGCGUGAGGAACCGAUGGUGCACUAGAAGAAGGAGAUCCAAAGACUCUCUGAGUGUACUGAGUCUCGGGGACAGUCUCCUGACCCGAAGAACCGGGAGCUGAAGAAGACGACGGGUCUAAACGACUACCCGGCUCACCGAACAUCUCUCUGUAAUGGGCAGUAAGUCUACCUUUUCGAACCUGAGAAAAAACAUUAAUUUUUUAAAUUUUCAUAAAAUACUUCCCAACAUUAUCC